RNAcentral lists this ribosomal RNA (429 nucleotides) under Pseudomonadota bacterium. Its description in RNAcentral is "Proteobacteria bacterium partial 16S ribosomal RNA". It matches the Rfam family "Bacterial small subunit ribosomal RNA", at positions 355 to 776 of the family's 1533-position model. Lineage: Bacteria; Pseudomonadati; Pseudomonadota. The record is from RNAcentral.
UGGGGAAUAUUGGACAAUGGGCGAAAGCCUGAUCCAGCCAUGCCGCGUGUGUGAAGAAGGUCUUCGGAUUGUAAAGCACUUUAAGUUGGGAGGAAGGUCAGUAAGCGAAUACCUUGCUGUUUUGACGUUACCGACAGAAUAAGCACCGGCUAACUCUGUGCCAGCAGCCGCGGUAAUACAGAGGGUGCAAGCGUUAAUUGGAAUUACUGGGCGUAAAGCGUGCGUAGGCGGCUAAUUGAGUCGGAUGUGAAAUCCCCGAGCUUAACUUGGGAAUUGCAUUCGAUACUGGUUAGCUAGAGUGUGGGAGAGGAUGGUAGAAUUCCAGGUGUAGCGGUGAAAUGCGUAGAGAUCUGGAGGAAUACCGAUGGCGAAGGCAGCCAUCUGGCCUAACACUGACGCUGAGGUACGAAAGCAUGGGGAGCAAACAGG